Molecule: ribosomal RNA, 252 nt
Filed under: uncultured bacterium
Lineage: Bacteria
Description: partial 16S ribosomal RNA
Rfam family: Bacterial small subunit ribosomal RNA
Source: RNAcentral
UACGUAGGGGGCAAGCGUUAUCCGGAAUCACUGGGUGUAAAGGGUGCGUAGGCGGUUAUGCAAGUCAGAUGUGAAAUGUCGAGGCUCAACUUCGGAACUGCAUUUGAAACUGCGUGACUAGAGUACAGGAGAGGUAAGUGGAAUUCCUAGUGUAGCGGUGAAAUGCGUAGAUAUUAGGAAGAACACCAGUGGCGAAGGCGACUUACUGGACUGAAACUGACGCUGAGGCACGAAAGCGUGGGAGCAAACAGG